RNAcentral lists this ribosomal RNA (1540 nucleotides) under Klebsiella pneumoniae. Its description in RNAcentral is "bacterial SSU rRNA". It matches the Rfam family "Bacterial small subunit ribosomal RNA". Lineage: Bacteria; Pseudomonadati; Pseudomonadota; Gammaproteobacteria; Enterobacterales; Enterobacteriaceae. The record is from RNAcentral.
AAAUUGAAGAGUUUGAUCAUGGCUCAGAUUGAACGCUGGCGGCAGGCCUAACACAUGCAAGUCGAGCGGUAGCACAGAGAGCUUGCUCUCGGGUGACGAGCGGCGGACGGGUGAGUAAUGUCUGGGAAACUGCCUGAUGGAGGGGGAUAACUACUGGAAACGGUAGCUAAUACCGCAUAAUGUCGCAAGACCAAAGUGGGGGACCUUCGGGCCUCAUGCCAUCAGAUGUGCCCAGAUGGGAUUAGCUAGUAGGUGGGGUAAUGGCUCACCUAGGCGACGAUCCCUAGCUGGUCUGAGAGGAUGACCAGCCACACUGGAACUGAGACACGGUCCAGACUCCUACGGGAGGCAGCAGUGGGGAAUAUUGCACAAUGGGCGCAAGCCUGAUGCAGCCAUGCCGCGUGUGUGAAGAAGGCCUUCGGGUUGUAAAGCACUUUCAGCGGGGAGGAAGGCGAUAAGGUUAAUAACCUUGUCGAUUGACGUUACCCGCAGAAGAAGCACCGGCUAACUCCGUGCCAGCAGCCGCGGUAAUACGGAGGGUGCAAGCGUUAAUCGGAAUUACUGGGCGUAAAGCGCACGCAGGCGGUCUGUCAAGUCGGAUGUGAAAUCCCCGGGCUCAACCUGGGAACUGCAUUCGAAACUGGCAGGCUAGAGUCUUGUAGAGGGGGGUAGAAUUCCAGGUGUAGCGGUGAAAUGCGUAGAGAUCUGGAGGAAUACCGGUGGCGAAGGCGGCCCCCUGGACAAAGACUGACGCUCAGGUGCGAAAGCGUGGGGAGCAAACAGGAUUAGAUACCCUGGUAGUCCACGCCGUAAACGAUGUCGAUUUGGAGGUUGUGCCCUUGAGGCGUGGCUUCCGGAGCUAACGCGUUAAAUCGACCGCCUGGGGAGUACGGCCGCAAGGUUAAAACUCAAAUGAAUUGACGGGGGCCCGCACAAGCGGUGGAGCAUGUGGUUUAAUUCGAUGCAACGCGAAGAACCUUACCUGGUCUUGACAUCCACAGAACUUUCCAGAGAUGGAUUGGUGCCUUCGGGAACUGUGAGACAGGUGCUGCAUGGCUGUCGUCAGCUCGUGUUGUGAAAUGUUGGGUUAAGUCCCGCAACGAGCGCAACCCUUAUCCUUUGUUGCCAGCGGUUAGGCCGGGAACUCAAAGGAGACUGCCAGUGAUAAACUGGAGGAAGGUGGGGAUGACGUCAAGUCAUCAUGGCCCUUACGACCAGGGCUACACACGUGCUACAAUGGCAUAUACAAAGAGAAGCGACCUCGCGAGAGCAAGCGGACCUCAUAAAGUAUGUCGUAGUCCGGAUUGGAGUCUGCAACUCGACUCCAUGAAGUCGGAAUCGCUAGUAAUCGUAGAUCAGAAUGCUACGGUGAAUACGUUCCCGGGCCUUGUACACACCGCCCGUCACACCAUGGGAGUGGGUUGCAAAAGAAGUAGGUAGCUUAACCUUCGGGAGGGCGCUUACCACUUUGUGAUUCAUGACUGGGGUGAAGUCGUAACAAGGUAACCGUAGGGGAACCUGCGGUUGGAUCACCUCCUUA